This is a long non-coding RNA of Passer montanus (Eurasian tree sparrow), 2916 nucleotides long. RefSeq lists it as uncharacterized. The transcript is spliced from 3 exons. The record is from RefSeq and is a predicted model, not a curated record. NCBI's taxonomy places the organism in Eukaryota, Metazoa, Chordata, Aves, Passeriformes, Passeridae.
CUUAAAUCAUUACAAAUUUUUUUUCACAUCACAGUCAUAUUUUAUUUCCUUUUUUUGAGCUCUUACAGGAAAUCUGGCAAGGAUUAUGAUGCAGGAUCAGCAGAAAAAAAAACCCCUACUUAGUUGCAGAUCUACUACUCUAAUUUUGCCUUUUACAAAGACUGGGAAUCCAAAGCUGUAAGGAGAACAGGAAGACUGCCUGUGUCAAGAUCCCUAACCAUUUUAUGUGCUCACCCAAUGAAUUGUACUGGAGAGCCUAAAGCUGCCCACUGAAUUCCUGCUGCACCUGCAUCAUUCCCACAGAAGGAGGAUCACUGUGUGGGAUUUGAGAUCUGUACAGAUACCCUGUUGUGGGCAUUGCAUGACAACAUUUGCUUCCUGGUUUACUAUGCCAAGCACCAGGAGCCUCAGCAGAGUCACACCAAACUGAAGGAAUUUUCAAUUUUCCUCUAUGGAUCACAGGACUGCCAAGUAUUACUAAAUACACUGGUAAAAGUACAAAAAUGUGGAAGAUUUCCUACAGCUAUGAUCUUCUGAACCACUUCUUGGGUAUAAUCAGCAAACUUUUUCUUCCUUCAAAUGAUAAGAGGACCACUGGUUUUAAGCUCACUGCAGUGACUUGGAAAAUUUUGUGGACUGAUAGAAUUAUUGCAAGAUAAAUGCAGAAAGUAAACAGAGCCUGUAAGGAGCUCAGAACAGACAUAGCUAUUCGGCAAUUAGGGUCUGUUUGCUUUUGUAAUCUGUGCAAUUAUUGUGAUUGAGGACACAUCUGAUAAAACAUUUCCCUUCCUACUUACAGUGUGCUACAGAUACACUCAAGCAGACAAAGGUACUUCAUUAUUGUAAUGGAAUUUCCAAGCAGAAAACCCAAACAUUUUGCUAGAUCAGGGCUCCAUUAAGUCUUGUUUUAUUUAUAAGUGGACAAUUGCAUGUAUCAGCUAUUCCUUUGUUCACUGAAACAAUCUUUAGGCCUGCAUCAGAGGAUGUCAGCUUUAGUUCCUUCCUAUGAAUUCUGAGAAGUGUGCAUGUAGUUACCUCAUGCUGUGAUUUACUUUACUUCAGUAUCUUUUUGCCCUUCACUUAAGUGAUCCUUUCUUUUUACAGCACUUAUUCAUGUUUAUUCCUCAUAAACUGAUGGAAAUUUCUUUAUAUAAGCAUUAUGUAACUCUAACAGCCUUCUGUCAUUCCCAUAUUUUCCACUAUAAAGUAUGAGUAACCACCCUGAAUUGACACAGUUGUCAGAGAAGACAGGGAAGAACCAGUAAACAAUUAAGAUCAUCAAGUGGACUUUGAAUUCUGUGUUUAUGACAUCCUUCAGUCAGAAGAGCAAAACAGGCACUGAAGUCCUAAGGCCUCACAAUAGGGUUCAUGCCGAAUCUGUGUUCUGUCCCCAUCCUUGCAUUAUUUGCACAUUACAAAUCUCCUCAGCAGGCGUUACCAGAAUGUCAUUUCUGACAGCCACAAUUCCUUGUCCUUUGGGAUUGUGGCAUUGUGUUGGGGUUUUUUAUGUAUUUUUGGUUUUUCUCUUCCCAAGAAAAGAAAAAACAAAAAUAUCAGUCUAGAUAACAGAAACAACAAAUGGUAUUGCUGUGCUCUGAAAAGUUUGGAACAUGUCAGAAAAGUUUGGAACAUGUUAGAAACGGGCAAAGUUUAUGUUCAAUAAAAAAGGAAGGGGGCUGUUAUUUCCACCAGAACUAUUAGCCUCCCCCAAAGAAGAAAGAAAGUGAAUAGAAACAGGACGAUCAUUAAAAAAAUUAUUGUUUCCAACUGAGGGCUUGUCCAAAUUACAGUUCAUAACUUGCCUCCUGCCGUGAUAUUGGACCAAACUCAACAACUAAGAAAAUAUAUUUGCAGUGGAAGCAAAAAUUAAUAUUAAGAUUAUUGUUUCUUUACAAGCUAUAGACAAAGGGCUACAGAAGCCUAUGAACAGAAAGGGGAUUAAUGUAAGAAAUGGAAUUAUCAGACUCCUAGACUGUUAAUUUGGCAAUUAUUAACAGCUUCAUCUAUGUUCAUAAAAACAUCCUGUGGAAGCAGAUUUUUAUUCCGCUCAGAAACAGUAAUGCUUCAGACUGAAGUUUAAGCAUAUUUAGUUCAUAUAUUUCUAAACCAAAUUAAUUACAUCUGUUUUAAUCCACAACCAAGAUUAUAAUAUUUCCUACCACUUGAUUUAAGACAGAGGAACUUUUUUCCUCAAUAUUUAUUGAGUCAGAGCAAUGAUCUAAGGUAGGGUGAACAUUAAAAAGUAAGAUGCUUAUGGCUUAUCACUUUUAAUAUAGUUGAAAUCAUCUUAAUAUUGUAAAAGUUAUAAUAAAUAUAAUAAUAAAUAAUACUAUAUUUAGUAUUUAUUGUCACAGGGAUCAUUGCUAGCAACAGGUGCUUUUUAUCUCUCGGCAAGGCAUCUGAGGGGCUGCAGGUGUCUCUGAAUACAGUAUGGGAGGAAAUACUAACUUUUCCAUAGCAAUCACUGUCCAUUUCCAUCCUCAGUGUGCUUUCCACAGCAAGGUGCUUGUUUUAUACAAAGCUCCUUCAGCUCACUCUGCCUCAGUUCUGAGUUCUUCAGUACUUGUUAGUGGCAUGUCGCAGCAGCACUCAGUGGUAUUACCUAUAGUUUGUAGGUUCAGCACUUGUUAAUCAAACCUUGUCCACAUCCUCUCUACAAAGAAAAGGAAAAGGAAAUGGACAAGGAGUUUUGUUCUUCCUUUGAGAGUGUCUCCACCUGUGUUGCUGUAAUUGUCAAGAGAACAACUGUCAGUCACCAGUAAGCUGCAUCACUUUAAUUAACCCUUUUAAUAGAGCUGUAUCUGCUUCAUUUUUUUGGCUACCUCUGUGCUCAUGCAAGAAUUGGUGGAUGUGGUACACACCAAAUGCUUCCAGACAACCUUACAGGAUUUUAUCAGUGCUGGGAACAAACCCCAA